CUUAUUACCCAAGACAUUCACCUACCCAGGUCAUACUUAUUACCCAAGACAAUCACCUACCCAGGUCAUACUUAUUACCCAAGACAAUCACCUACCCAUGUCAUACUUAUUACUCAAGACAAUCACCUACCCAGGUCAUACUUAUUACCCAAGACAAUCACCUACCCAUGUCAUACUUAUUACUCAAGACAAUCACCUACCCAGGUCAUACUUAUUACUCAAGACAAUCACCUACCCAUGUCAUACUUAUUACUCAAGACAAUCACCUACCCAGGUCAUACUUAUUACUCAAGACAUUCACCUUCCCAGGUCAUACUUAUUACCCAAGACAAUCACCUACCCAGGUCAUACUUAUUACCCAAGACCCAGGUCAUACUUAUUACCCAAGACAAUCACCUACCCAGGUCAUACUUAUUACCCAAGACCCAGGUCAUACUUAUUACCCAAGACAAUCACCUACCCAGGUCAUACUUAUUACCCAAGACCCAGGUCAUACUUAUUACCCAAGACAAUCACCUACCCAGGUCAUACUUAUUACCCAAGACCCAGGUCAUACUUAUUACCCAAGACAAUCACCUACCCAGGUCAUACUUAUUACCCAAGACCCAGGUCAUACUUAUUACCCAAGACAAUCACCUACCCAGGUCAUACUUAUUACCCAAGACCCAGGUCAUACUUAUUACCCAAGACAAUAACCUACCCAGGUCAUACUUAUUACCCAAGACAAUCACCUACCCAGGUCAUACUUAUUACCCAAGACAAUCACCUACCCAGGUCAUACUUAUUACCCAAGACAAUCACCUACCCAGGUCAUACUUAUUACCCAAGACAAUCACCUACCUAGGUCAUACUUAUUACCCAAGACAAUCAAGCAGUACUGUGUGUCAGUGUGUGUCGGCUAUGUGAUGUCUGUGUGUA
This is a long non-coding RNA of Oncorhynchus keta (chum salmon), 918 nucleotides long. RefSeq lists it as uncharacterized. NCBI's taxonomy places the organism in Eukaryota, Metazoa, Chordata, Actinopteri, Salmoniformes, Salmonidae. The transcript is spliced from 5 exons. The record is from RefSeq and is a predicted model, not a curated record.